This 273-nucleotide ribosomal RNA is filed under the name uncultured bacterium. Its description in RNAcentral is "partial 16S ribosomal RNA". It matches the Rfam family "Bacterial small subunit ribosomal RNA", at positions 523 to 796 of the family's 1533-position model. The record is from RNAcentral.
AUACAGAGGGUGCAGCGUUAAUCGGAAUUACUGGGCGUAAAGCGCGCGUAGGCGGUUUGUUAAGUUGGAUGUGAAAGCCCCGGGCUUAACCUGGGAGGGUCAUUCAAAACUGGCAGACUAGAGUGUGGUAGAGGGUAGUGGAAUUCCUAGUGUAGCGGUGAAAUGCGUAGAGAUUAGGAGGAACACCAGUGGCGAAGGCGACUGCCUGGACCAACACUGACGCUGAGGUGCGAAAGCGUGGGUAGCGAACAGGAUUAGAAACCCUAGUAGUCC